Molecule: long non-coding RNA, 240 nt
Filed under: Fukomys damarensis (Damara mole-rat)
Lineage: Eukaryota; Metazoa; Chordata; Mammalia; Rodentia; Bathyergidae
Description: lncRNA (ENSFDAG00000027146.1)
Source: RNAcentral
UGAGGAUCGAACUCGUGCUUGUGCUUGCAAGGCAGGCACCGGAACCAUUGAGCUAAAUCCCCAGCCCAGCCUUCUGCCUUUUAUAUCCCCAUCUCGUCUUUCUGCCUGGGACACAUACAUGAUGCUCCAGAUGAAGCGCCUAUCUUGUGACUGUCAGGGAUGAUAAAUACAUGCUUUUGAAUAUAUUACUGUCAAUCAAACCCUGGCAUUAAUGGAGAGCCACUGCAGAGUUUCUACUAC